UACGAAGGGGGCUAGCGUUGUUCGGAAUUACUGGGCGUAAAGCGCACGUAGGCGGUGUUCCAUGUCAGAGGUGAAAGCCUGGGGCUCAACUCCAGAAUUGCCUUUGAAACGGGGACGCUUGAGUCCGAGAGAGGAUGGCGGAAUUCCUAGUGUAGAGGUGAAAUUCGUAGAUAUUAGGAAGAACACCGGUGGCGAAGGCGGCCAUCUGGCUCGGUACUGACGCUCAGGUGCGAAAGCUAGGGGAGCAAACAGG
RNAcentral lists this ribosomal RNA (253 nucleotides) under uncultured bacterium. RNAcentral describes it as "partial 16S ribosomal RNA". It matches the Rfam family "Bacterial small subunit ribosomal RNA", at positions 524 to 776 of the family's 1533-position model. The record is from RNAcentral.